Molecule: long non-coding RNA, 2756 nt
Organism: Oreochromis aureus
Lineage: Eukaryota; Metazoa; Chordata; Actinopteri; Cichliformes; Cichlidae
Source: Ensembl
AAAAAAGUUGUCAGGUUGCAAAGAAGAAUGGGCAAGGAUUUCAGUCUCUAGAUUUGCAAAGCUGGUAGAGACAUACCCUAAAAGACUGGCAGCUGGAAUUGCAGCAAAAGGUGGUUCUACAAAGUAUUGACUCAGGGGGCUGAAUAAUUACGCACACCCCACUUUUCAGUUAUUUAUUUGUAAAAAAUGUUUGGAAUCAUGUAUGAUUUUUGUUCCACUUCUCACAUGUACACCACUUUGUAUUGGUCUUUGACAGGGGAUUUCUUUAAAUCACCCUGCCGUUCUUCAGUUGAGACGUCUGAGUUCAGAAAACACACAAACACUGCAGAAGUUUUUCCUCGCGAGGGGCAGUCAUGUACACAGGAUCUGCGCCCCACGACUGUCCCCGUCCUUUAUUUAUACUUUUCUGUGUGAGUGUGUGUGUGUGUGUGUGUGUAUGUGUGUGUACAAAGGUAACAACGUCAUUUGGAGCCGCGGGUUUUUUCCCUUCACUACAUUUGCAUGUUCUUCUAAUAGAGCUGAGUCUUCACUUCUCUGUUCUCUGAAGACAGGAAGCGGUUAGUAGCUGCACACAAGUUACUGGGUGAAAAGUCACCCAGACAUGUCCCCAACAGUAAGAUAAAAAGAUACAUUUCAUAUAGCUGAUCAUAUUAUACAAUAUUCUCUUCUGACAUUCCCUCCUGUUGAUCACGAAGUGAAAUGUACAAUUCAUCAGUGAGUAACUACUUGUCUUUCACAUUCUCAGUUACUACAUCAUUAGUUACACUUCAUCUUCAUCUGAAAAAUAGGAAAAGAAGUCUUCAUCGGUUUUGGUACAUCUGCGUAUGCUGUGAAUGACAAACUAAUCAUCUGUGAAAUUACAGCUUUAAACAAAGAAUAUCAUAAGUAAAGAAAGGCAAAAUAAAAUCAAGAAAAAUUCAAUGACGAUCAACAGUCUCUUUAAACUUGUUAAAGUUCAGGGCUUCUUCCUGGAUCAGGAUGUUGAUGAUGUUGUGCACCUUACAAAAGUCAUUAGAUCAGAUUUGGUGCACUUGUUCCAGGGUGUUUCUCAUACAUGGCUGUGUUAAUAUGCUCGGCAUGUGCGAGCAAACAUAACAGUCUUUCUCUGUAGUUUUGUUAAACACUUAUUUGUAUCAGUCACUUUCCAUCCAAGGAUGGAUGUGAUCUUGUGUCAUGUCCAUUAGGUGUAAGUUGUCGUACGUCCAUCUUCUCUGUCUGCCUUGUGGCUCGGCUACUGUUGGCAUCAGCUGGGAUCCUGUAAGGGUGAGCUUUGUAGUCAAGGUAACCAGGAGGCUUCCCCUUCACAUUGUUGCACAUAGGUCCAUCACACCUGCACCUGGCUGCCCUAAAGUUGAUCGGAUAGAGGGUGGAGUGCAGGCUUACCCAACGGGGGCCCAAUCGCACUACCCCCCCUCACCCCCGAAGCAACCAAACGUAGGUGAGGCCUUCCUAAUGUGCUUCCUCCUUAGUGAUGGGGCUUCCCGGGACCUCAACCUUUUUGCAAUGGCUCUGAUGUAUCCAAGAUGGUCUCUCUGCAAUUUUACAGGCUGUGGGUGUUGUCAAUAACACUUGGUUUCAACCUGCAAGAGACUGGAGAGCCUUACGGCAGUUUAUUGUUCAAAACAACCUGUUCUAAUUCAAAGGUUGUGGGUUCACACGAUUUCCUGUUUUUGCAUUAGUUAGUUUUUGGAGACUAAUCGAACUCUCUUCCUAACUUUCCAUAUAGCAACAAUAAGUGUCCAGCAUUUGAGAGUUGUCUCACAUGUGUGAGAUAAGACAAAGUUGCUUAUUAUUUUUUUUUUAUUUUUUUUUUUUUAAAUUGAAGUCACUGCGUGAGGUACUUAGAUGAUCAGAGUGUGCCCUAAAACAACGUCAGCUGACUUUUUUACUGCCUCUGCUGCAGCUGCACAGGCCUACAAACAACAGAGUCUAAUUUACAGGAAGGAAUGCAAGUUACUGAAUGCUUCUUCUGAUUUCUUUUCUAUGUAGGUGCAAGACUUCAUUUUGACUUAAGGCAUUUAGGUCAUUCCUUUUUUUUUUUUUUUUUUUUUUAAAAGAACUCACACAUCUUACAUAUUUCAAACUUUUAAGUUAAGGAAAAAACUUUGCAUUGCUUACAGCUCAUAACUCACAGCUCUAAAACUCGUCAUUGUUAAAUCAUGUGCCUAAUCAUUAUAUGUCACUGUGAUCCACAAGUAUGAUCACAAAUUUGUUUUCCAAACUUACAAAACAAACAAACAAAAACAAAAACAAAUUGCCUAUGGCACCAAGGCUUUGUGUUCAUAUUAAUUGAGUGUAAGCUGCUUUCUUCAUUGCAAGUAUUUGUUUCAAUAAGGUUUAAUUCUGUCUCACUUCUAAUUCAUUUCAAUAAUAAUCUCACAUGUAACAAUUUGUGUAUGUGUGUUCUCAUUUUGUGUUUACCUCUUUGUCGUGAUGUGGUGGACAUCCCUAAACAAUCAGUAAUUUUCCUAAAUCUUGAUUUAAAAACAAUACACCCUCAUUUCACUCACACACAUUUAAACCGAGCUCUUUCACACAUCCAAACAAUUAACCAAGGGUAUAUGCUUAUGUGUUUUUGAACUGAGAGAAAAGAAACUCAACCUCUCAUACCAUCACUCAUGCAUUUCUUGAAUUAAAAGCACUUUCAAACUUUAGAACAUCCUACUUUUCAUCACAAAAGAAAUAUAUUUCACACUCCUUUAUUUCAUACACACUUUUAAAUGUUCUAACCUCUUUCAGACGCCAUAAAUCGUCUC